RNAcentral lists this ribosomal RNA (434 nucleotides) under uncultured Lachnospiraceae bacterium. RNAcentral's name for it is "bacterial SSU rRNA". It matches the Rfam family "Bacterial small subunit ribosomal RNA", at positions 341 to 792 of the family's 1533-position model. Lineage: Bacteria; Bacillati; Bacillota; Clostridia; Lachnospirales; Lachnospiraceae. The record is from RNAcentral.
ACGGAAGGCAGCAGUGGGGAAUAUUGCACAAUGGGCGAAAGCCUGAUGCAGCGACGCCGCGUGAACGAAGAAGUAUUUCGGUAUGUAAAGUUCUAUCAGCAGGGAAGAUAAUGACGGUACCUGACUAAGAAGCACCGGCUAAAUACGUGCCAGCAGCCGCGGUAAUACGUAUGGUGCAAGCGUUAUCCGGAUUUACUGGGUGUAAAGGGAGCGCAGGCGGCGCGGCAAGUCUGAAGUGAAAUCCCGGGGCUCAACCCCGGAACUGCUUUGGAAACUGUCGUGCUAGAGUGUCGGAGGGGUAAGCGGAAUUCCUAGUGUAGCGGUGAAAUGCGUAGAUAUUAGGAGGAACAUCGGUGGCGAAGGCGGCUUACUGGGCUUUUACUGACGCUGAGGCUCGAAAGCGUGGGGAGCAAACAGGAUUAGAUACCCUGGUA